UACGGGGGGGGCAAGCGUUGUUCGGAAUUACUGGGCGUAAAGGGUGCGUAGGCGGCGGAGUAAGUUGGGUGUGAAAUCCCGGGGCUUAACCUCGGAAUUGCAUUCAAUACUGCUUCGCUCGAGUACUGGAGAGGAGGCUGGAAUUUACGGUGUAGCAGUGAAAUGCGUAGAUAUCGUAAGGAAGGCCGGUGGCGAAAGCGAGCCUCUGGACAGUUACUGACGCUGAUGCACGAAGGCCAGGGGAGCAAACGGG
RNAcentral lists this ribosomal RNA (253 nucleotides) under uncultured bacterium. Its description in RNAcentral is "partial 16S ribosomal RNA". It matches the Rfam family "Bacterial small subunit ribosomal RNA", at positions 524 to 776 of the family's 1533-position model. The record is from RNAcentral.